This is a long non-coding RNA of Phyllostomus hastatus (greater spear-nosed bat), 951 nucleotides long. RefSeq lists it as uncharacterized. The record is from RefSeq and is a predicted model, not a curated record. The transcript is spliced from 4 exons. Lineage: Eukaryota; Metazoa; Chordata; Mammalia; Chiroptera; Phyllostomidae.
GGUGAAUGUCCAGCCGCAGCCGCCCAGGGGGCACUUGAAGGGCCUCUGGCCCUGGCUGCUGCUAUGCGUCAGCAGGUGCACCUUCAGCUGGUGCUUCUUGGCGAAGGUCUGCCCGCACUGCGCCUCCGGACACAGGGCUGAGGAAGAAUACCCAGGGAAAGACCAACUUGCAGUGGGGGCCCCUCCCCAAGGAUGGAUGGAGUUCACUCCUCAUUGGAGAAGGUGUAGGAGAUGCCACUGGACAGCAGAGAAGCUUGCUGGUUUGCCCGUGCCAGAGCUGGACUUAGAACCAUAGCUGGUCUACAGUUGCAGGCUGGUCUACCCGGCAGAGCAUCGUCCAUCGUCCAGUGAGAAAGCUCCAGCACGAAACUUAGCAAAGCACUUUUGACACGUUCGAUCAGUCACAGCACCUUCUCCAUACACUGCACAAGUCUUUUUGUCAGAGACAGAGGAGGACACACACAGGAAAUUCUGAAGAUCCAGGGGGCCAAGUGGUGAGAACCUGAGAGUGGCUUCUGAAAGCUGAAAUCAACACCAGCCAACAGUCAGCAAGAAACUAGGAACUCAGUUCUAUAACCACAAGGAAUGAAUUCUACCAAUAUCCUUGAAUGAGCUUGGAAGAGGGACCUGAGCACCAGAUGAGAACACGGCCCAGCUGACAUGUGGAUGACAGGCUUGUGAGUCCCUGAGCAGAAGACCCAGUCAAGCCCACCAGGUUUCUCCCUUAGAAGACUGCGAGACAAAGAAUGGGUGUACUGUUAAGCCUACUGUUUGUGGGUAAUUUGUAAUGGCUGCAACAGAAAACUAAUACACUGCACCAUUCCUCUAAAAUAAAAUAAUAAAAUAAAGUAAAUAAAAUGUUGGAGUUUCCUACACUGUAAUGCAAACUCACUUUGUGCAUAUCAUACACCUGCAGUACUUCUUAUCAUUGGUAUGGGACUUGGGGACAUU